CACGUAUUCCCCAAGGUGUCUACAGCAUUGUGACAUAUUUUUACGCAUUUCCAUUAAAGAAUAGCCGCAAGGGAGCAUAUUUAGCAAGUGGUCACAUGGUGUCUCCCGCAGAAAAUCUUGCGUAAAAUACUGAGGUAAGCCAUUUUUCCAAUCGCUUCUUAUAAGAAACCAAUUGCCUCGACGGAUAUAUUAUCAAAUAUAUAUGUUAAAAACACCUUGAGGAUGGAUCCUAAACAACGUUUGCCGUGUUUCUGUCGAUAUUAUGGAGCUAAUUUUGAAAAAAGUUUGGCGUUGUAGUGGUAGCAUUUUCCGGUCGAUUUCUCAGCCAAGCAUGAUGAACAAACUGGAGCUAUUUCACCUACAAAAAUAAUAUUUUGGGAAAAAAGGAACAUUUGCUAUCUAACUGGGAGUCUCCUGAGUGAAAACAUCCGAAGUUCUUCAAAGGAGCCUGAAAAGAUUUGGCAUGGGUCCCCAGAACCUCAAAACAUUGUCCAGCUGCACCAUCGAGAGCAUCGUGACCAG
Molecule: long non-coding RNA, 522 nt
Organism: Oncorhynchus tshawytscha (Chinook salmon)
Lineage: Eukaryota; Metazoa; Chordata; Actinopteri; Salmoniformes; Salmonidae
Source: Ensembl